CCUACGGGUGGCAGCAGUGGGGAAUAUUGGACAAUGGGCGAAAGCCUGAUCCAGCCAUGCCGCGUGUGUGAAGAAGGCCUUCGGGUUGUAAAGCACUUUCAGUGGGGAAGAAAGCCUUGGGGCUAAUACCCUCGAGGAAGGACAUCACCCACAGAAGAAGCACCGGCUAACUCCGUGCCAGCAGCCGCGGUAAUACGGAGGGUGCGAGCGUUAAUCGGAAUUACUGGGCGUAAAGCGCGCGUAGGCGGUCUGAUAAGCCGGUUGUGAAAGCCCCGGGCUCAACCUGGGAACGGCAUCCGGAACUGUCAGGCUAGAGUGCAGGAGAGGAAGGUAGAAUUCCCGGUGUAGCGGUGAAAUGCGUAGAGAUCGGGAGGAAUACCAGUGGCGAAGGCGGCCUACUGGACUGAUACUGACGCUGAGGUGCGAAAGCGUGGGUAGCAAACAGGAUUAGAUACCCUAGUAGUC
RNAcentral lists this ribosomal RNA (465 nucleotides) under Vreelandella stevensii. Its description in RNAcentral is "partial 16S ribosomal RNA". It matches the Rfam family "Bacterial small subunit ribosomal RNA", at positions 338 to 795 of the family's 1533-position model. The record is from RNAcentral. Lineage: Bacteria; Pseudomonadati; Pseudomonadota; Gammaproteobacteria; Oceanospirillales; Halomonadaceae.